AUUAUAAAUUGGGAAUCGAACCCGGGAGCCCGCGUGUCAAGCGAGCAUUCUACCACUGAACCACCGA
RNAcentral lists this transfer RNA (67 nucleotides) under Cordylochernes scorpioides. RNAcentral's name for it is "tRNA-Val". The record is from RNAcentral. Lineage: Eukaryota; Metazoa; Arthropoda; Arachnida; Pseudoscorpiones; Chernetidae.